RNAcentral lists this small RNA (127 nucleotides) under Marmota monax (woodchuck). The record is from RNAcentral. Lineage: Eukaryota; Metazoa; Chordata; Mammalia; Rodentia; Sciuridae.
GCUGGGUGUGGUGGUGCACACCUGUAAUCCCAGCGGCUGUGGAGGCUGAGGCAGGAGGAUCGAAGGUUCAAAGCCAGCCUCAGCAACUUAGUGAGGCCCUGAGGAAUUCAGUGAGACCCUGUUUCUA